AAAAUGUAAGAUAACGUAUUGUGUAGCUCCGAAAAAUUUAAUCGAGAUCCGAGAUGCAUCGGUUGCAGUUUUUGUAUAAUUAAUUAUAUAGGAGAUGAUCAUGAACUUGACUAGAUCUCUAUGAUGUGAUUAUGGAUGUAUCUGGAUAUUUUUGAGAUGAUGUGAUGAAAUUUUUGUGGGUCUAGUUUAAGCAAUUAUUUGUUAUUUAGUUUUCGAUAUUUGUGAAUAGGAUCUG
RNAcentral lists this long non-coding RNA (235 nucleotides) under Ananas comosus (pineapple). RNAcentral's name for it is "long non-coding RNA (ACOM_LNC024183)". The record is from RNAcentral. Lineage: Eukaryota; Viridiplantae; Streptophyta; Magnoliopsida; Poales; Bromeliaceae.